RNAcentral lists this ribosomal RNA (315 nucleotides) under uncultured bacterium. RNAcentral's name for it is "bacterial SSU rRNA". It matches the Rfam family "Bacterial small subunit ribosomal RNA", at positions 28 to 334 of the family's 1533-position model. The record is from RNAcentral.
GAUGAACGCUGGCGGCGUGCCUAAUACAUGCAAGUCGAACGAACGGAUUGAGGAGCUUGCUCUUCAUGAAGUUAGCGGCGGACGGGUGAGUAACGCGUGAGAAACCUGCCUUUCACAACGGGAUAGCCUCGGGAAACUGGGAUUAAUACCGUAUGAUACUUCUACUUAGCAUUAAAGAAGAAGUCAAAGCGUAAAGCGGUGAAAGAUGGUCUCGCGUCCCAUUAGUUAGUUGGUGAGGUAACGGCUCACCGAGACUUCGAUGGGUAGCCGGCCUGAGAGGGUGAACGGCCACACUGGAACUGAGACACGGUCCAG